Non-coding RNA from Pristionchus pacificus, 61 nucleotides. NCBI's taxonomy places the organism in Eukaryota, Metazoa, Nematoda, Chromadorea, Rhabditida, Neodiplogasteridae. The record is from Rfam.
UCCUCAUUUUGCCUGCUCUCUCGUCGAUCAGACAGACGAGAGAGUAGGCGAAAUGAGGAGA